UACGAGGGGGGCGAGCGUUGUUCGGAAUUAUUGGGCGUAAAGGGUGCGUAGGCGGUUUGAUAAGUCUGAUGUGAAAUCUAUGGGCUCAACCCAUAGCCUGCAUUAGAAACUGUCGGGCUUGAGUAUGGGAGAGGUGAGUGGAAUUCCGAGUGUAGAGGUGAAAUUCGUAGAUAUUCGGAAGAACACCAGUGGCGAAGGCGACUUACUGGACACAUAUUGACGCUGAGGUGCGAAAGCGUGGGGAGCAAACAGG
RNAcentral lists this ribosomal RNA (253 nucleotides) under uncultured bacterium. RNAcentral's name for it is "partial 16S ribosomal RNA". It matches the Rfam family "Bacterial small subunit ribosomal RNA", at positions 524 to 776 of the family's 1533-position model. The record is from RNAcentral.